This 73-nucleotide transfer RNA is filed under the name Methanobacteriota archaeon. RNAcentral describes it as "Euryarchaeota archaeon (anaerobic digester metagenome) tRNA-Gln". It matches the Rfam family "tRNA". From Rfam's summary of the family: Transfer RNA (tRNA) molecules are approximately 80 nucleotides in length. Their secondary structure includes four short double-helical elements and three loops (D, anti-codon, and T loops). Further hydrogen bonds mediate the characteristic L-shaped molecular structure. tRNAs have two regions of fundamental functional importance: the anti-codon, which is responsible for specific mRNA codon recognition, and the 3' end, to which the tRNAs corresponding amino acid is attached (by aminoacyl-tRNA synthetases). tRNAs cope with the degeneracy of the genetic code in two manners: having more than one tRNA (with a specific anti-codon) for a particular amino acid; and 'wobble' base-pairing, i.e. permitting non-standard base-pairing at the 3rd anti-codon position. Lineage: Archaea; Methanobacteriati; Methanobacteriota. The record is from RNAcentral.
AGCCCCGUAGUGUAGUGGUCAAUCAUGUGGGACUCUGGAUCCUUCGACGGCAGUUCGAAUCUGCCCGGGGCUA